CUAUACCUACGGGGGGCAGCAGUCGAGAAUCAUUCACAAUGGGGGAAACCCUGAUGGUGCGACGCCGCGUGGGGGAAUGAAGGUCUUCGGAUUGUAAACCCCUGUCAUGUGGGAGCAAAUUAAAAAGAUAGUACCACAAGAGGAAGAGACGGCUAACACUGUGCCAGCAGCCGCGGGAAUACAGAGGUCUCAAGCGGUGUUCGGAAUCACUGGGCGUAAAGCGUGCGUAGGCUGUUUCGCAAGUCGUGUGUGACAGGCGCGGGCUCAACCCGCGGACGGCAC
Molecule: ribosomal RNA, 282 nt
Filed under: uncultured bacterium
Lineage: Bacteria
Description: partial 16S ribosomal RNA
Rfam family: Bacterial small subunit ribosomal RNA
Source: RNAcentral